RNAcentral lists this long non-coding RNA (342 nucleotides) under Nasonia vitripennis (jewel wasp). RNAcentral's name for it is "uncharacterized LOC116417934". The record is from RNAcentral. Lineage: Eukaryota; Metazoa; Arthropoda; Insecta; Hymenoptera; Pteromalidae.
GAGAAACUUGGAUCAAGCUAACCAGUGUUUUUGAGUAAGCUCGAGAUCCUUACAAAAUUAAGUCAAUGCCAAAAUAUUACAAACUAUCAGGAAUGAAAAUAAAAACUCAAUUCAAGAAUGAACAUAUGGAUUUAUUCAAAGUAUGAGGAUGCUAUACAUAAAAUAUAAGAAUAAUAUAAAAUAAUUCAAGAAGUCAGCGAGAGCUGUUAUAAACUAUCAGCAUUUAAUAAAAUUAAAAGUUGAAUCUGUUAAUGAAUUAUAUUCCGUACAAAUAGCAAAAUUAUCAAUUAAUUUAUAUGAAAAAUUUCUUUGUAAAUAAAAUAAAAAUUUGAAAUGAUAUAA